UUUGGUUCUUCUUCACGACUUUAGAACAUGUCGAUUGUGUUCAGCGUCAACGGGAAGAGACAUGAGUUGAGCGAAAAGGAAGUUGAUCCUCGCAAAACUUUGGCUGAGUUUCU
RNAcentral lists this non-coding RNA (113 nucleotides) under Paramoeba aestuarina. The record is from RNAcentral. Lineage: Eukaryota; Discosea; Flabellinia; Dactylopodida; Paramoebidae.